Molecule: long non-coding RNA, 2588 nt
Filed under: Pomacea canaliculata
Lineage: Eukaryota; Metazoa; Mollusca; Gastropoda; Architaenioglossa; Ampullariidae
Description: uncharacterized LOC112563725, transcript variant X1
Source: RNAcentral
GGAGAGGUAACUCUCACAAACCUUGUGUCUCUGACAAGCUUUUCUAUUUCCGUGGUGGAAGAUCACAUUUUUCUGUUCUCUGCUCAUUAUGUAACAAAGAAUCCGAUCUCUAGGACUUGGUAAACUGCAGACAAAGAAACGCCAUGAAAUAUCACUUCAUGCAGCACAGGCUACAUCGGGUGUCUUUAAGGAGUAAUAUGACAGAGACAAGAGCGGAAAUCUCAACUCCCUGGAACUGAGAGGUGCCCUCCACAGUGUUGGUAAGAGCUUGUUGUUUCCAUAAGUUAAAUUUGUUUACAAUUAAAUGUUCAUAAUCAUUAAACACACACGCACUUAAUGCUUUUGAUUGGUUUCUUUUUUAUCUCCUGUAUUAAAAUAAGAAUCUUUGUGGCAUUUUAAUCAGGAUUCAUCUUAUUAUUUUCCAUUACAGUCCCAUAUAAACACAAUAAUGUUUAUUUUGUUAUAUAUUCAUAUUAUAAACAUUUACAGGCUUCCGUCUGAACAACAAGACGUUACGAUGCGCAUAGGGAAUUCGGAGCUGUCAGAAUUUCCUCCAAUAACUUGUGAUUACGAUUUAUCUGGCGAUAUUUCAUCAGCUGUUAGCAUCCACUCGCGAUCGGUUUCAGCUUCGCAAUACCUAGAUCAGGAUCAAAACGAAACAGAUGUAAUGGAAUGGAAUUCGAUCUUUUCUUGAUUAUUUAGAUCAGGAAGAUCAAAGUGAAACAGACAGCGACACUGAAUUAUUACAGAAUACCAAGCGCAUAUCAGAAAACGAUUUGUAUCAGGAUUUAGCACUGGGCAAGCCAAUGUAACAUUACACUUAGUGCUUUGUCUCGUUUACUGAGUAUUCUACGUAAUUACCAUCCAUCUCUCCCCAAGCAUCCCAGAACACUGUUGAAAACCCCCCAAAAGUUAAACAUUAGAUCUGUAGAAAAUAGUUCUCGAUAUUAUUUUCACUUUGGACUUAAAGAAUCUCUGUCUAAAUCUAGUCUGGUUGGAUUAUUAUAAAAGUACGUUCUUAAGAAAGAUUAAAGUAAGACUGUUCCACUUAACACAUUUUGAUCUGUCAUUAUCAAUUUGAAUUGUUCUUCUAUCUUGUCCAGUUACUUUUUAAUAAUUUCUUGAAAAGGGGGUAAAUUCAUGGGUACAGGGCCGGGCCUUUAGGAGGGAAAGAAAUGUACUGGGCUGUGCUGUGUUUAACACCUGCAUUUGAACUAUCAGUGCAAAUAUAUAUGCUGUACACAUACAUAUUUUAUUUAUGCUUGCUUUACACAUUUAACAGUGAUGUUUACAAAGAGAUAGGCUUUGCAUAUUUAGGAUAAAAUGUCUACAAACUGCAUGUUGUUUCAGCAGAUGGCCUUAAGCUUAUUCCAUGUUGAGUUUUUGGAAGAAGCAGAAUGCUUAAAGGGGCCAGUAGCUGUAAUUCCAGACAGUUGGCUGCUAGCAUUUUUAAAGAUUCCAGUGGUCGCAGGAUGUGCAACUGGCCACCAAAAUCUGCAAGCUUCAUUAUUAAACAUCAGAUUCCUCAUGGCCCAUGCAUCCAGUUCGCCUGCACAAGUCAUUAAGACAAAGGAAGGAGAUAAAAAGAUGAUAUCUGGACUGUUGGAACACUGUAACAGGUAACUGCCAAGCAGCUAGCCAAAUCUGCGAGACACUGAAAGAAAUGUCGGAGGUGGAGAAUGAUGACACAAAUACUCCCAAUCAAACAAAAAGGCCACGAAUAACUCCAAUUAGAUUUUGGGAUGCACGGCUAACAGACAGCGAAGGAGAGAAGAAUUCCGAGGAAUCACUAUGUGAUGACCAUUCAAUGCAGCAGUGUCCACCACUCUCUGCCAUACUGUCUGCCGCCAGUAGUUGUCAGCCCUAGGGUGUCCCCAAGUAGCAGCUAUCGACAAAGUACUAUUUCACCUUUGCCUUCACAUCUCCAACACUCAUUCUCAGGUUUUCAUCCUGCCAGCAUAGGGACCCACAACCCCUUGGAAGCUCAACUGGAGAAACUUGGGACAGCAGCAACUGUCUCUUCUGGAAGAGAUGAGAGAUGAUAUAAAAGAUGUGAAAAGGAGGCUUCAAGAAUGGAGAAACAACACCAGGAAAAGGAGGUGACAGGAGGAAAACUGCCAGAGGGGUUCCAUUUUCUCUUACAAUCUUCAGAGGAUGUUGACCGUCUGGAGUGGGAUUGGAAGACUGACCCAGGAAAACGGACACACUCGGAAUGCCAUUUGACGAUGGGUGGAAUAUUCACUUUAAAGCACUUGGUGAGGAGCAUACUAUCUGUGCUAUUGUCAACUGACUCAGCCCGGUGUUACAACUUCAAUGGUCUGAAAGAGAAGAAGGGACUCAAGAACCACUCCUUUAUUUUACAAACAGUUCAGGGUAAGGAUUUAAAUAUUUGACUGUGUUUUCAUGAGAUUACAAAAAACAUUACAGGGAGACAACUCUAGCCUGGCGAACUUUUCCUACCUCAUUUCAUUGUGAUCCAAUUACAUUGGAAAAUUAAAAAUAUGGACAUGUGUUUAUGCAGUGUCUAGUCCUUUAAUCAGCUGGUUAACACUGUGUAGAAAGGAAUGAACACAACAAUUGAUAGACAU